This 305-nucleotide ribosomal RNA is filed under the name uncultured bacterium. RNAcentral's name for it is "bacterial SSU rRNA". It matches the Rfam family "Bacterial small subunit ribosomal RNA", at positions 334 to 637 of the family's 1533-position model. The record is from RNAcentral.
AGUACCUACGGGGGGCAGCAGUGAGGAAUAUUGGUCAAUGGUCGGGAGACUGAACCAGCCAAGCCGCGUGAGGGAUGAAGGUACAGAGUAUCGUAAACCUCUUUUGUCAGGGAACAAAGGCGGGGACGUGUCCCCGGAUGAGUGUUCCUGAAGAAAAAGCAUCGGCUAACUCCGUGCCAGCAGCCGCGGUAAUACGGAGGAUGCGAGCGAUAUCCGGAUUUAUUGGGUUUAAAGGGUGCGCAGGCGGUCUGUUAAGUAAGCGGUCAAAGCCCGGGGCUCAAACCCGGCCCCCCGUUGAAACUGGG